This 233-nucleotide ribosomal RNA is filed under the name uncultured bacterium. RNAcentral's name for it is "partial 16S ribosomal RNA". It matches the Rfam family "Bacterial small subunit ribosomal RNA", at positions 100 to 334 of the family's 1533-position model. The record is from RNAcentral.
CGGGACGGGUGAGUAAUGUCUGGGAAACUGCCUGAUGGAGGGGGGUAACUACUGGAAACGGUAGCUAAUACCGCAUAACGUCGCAAGACCAAAGAGGGGGACCUUCGGGCCUCUUGCCAUCGGAUGUGCCCAGAUGGGAUUAGCUAGUAGGUGGGGUAGCGGCUCACCUAGGCGACGAUCCCUAGCUGGUCUGAGGGGAUGACCAGCCACACUGGAACUGAGACACGGUCCAG